GCUAACGGUUUACCUCAACAAGCUCUCCAUGUCUUUAUCGUGAACAUCGCGCAGGAUGACGAUGGGGUGCUGGCAUGGGUUGGCCUUCAGCAGCCUUCGGAAGUAAGGGCUGCACGCCGACAGCACCACCUGGAUUCGAUCAUCGUCACCAUUAGGAUGCAACUAGUGGAACGUAAUUUGUGGCGCCGGCGCAGGCGAGGGUCACAUCCACGAAGUCCUCCUCGUCCCUCAGCCGACGGAAGGACGACACCAUCGCAGAGUGGAAGUCGUUCCAUCGGAGGGAGUACUGCUGCUCGCCGCCGACCGCGGCGCCGCCUGCACGACCAUCGACGGAAAGCGUAUUGCAAGCCCGCGCGGAUGGGUCUCACUAACCUGUAACCUGACUAUCGGUGCCGCGAAGCACUCGGGAGUUUCAGUUUGAAGAGUAAGGUAGGAUUAUAUUGAUAUAAUAUAAGAUUAUAUAUAUAUAUUGAUAUAACAUUGAAAGUUUCAUCUCAUUUAUUUUACGCUGUCUAUGGCUUAUGGGUUCCGGUAGCCACUUUAACACAGAAGGAUUGUAAUCAUUUAUCCGUGUAAUACAAAAAUAAAAUAGGAACUUUAAUGUGAAAUUUAAAAUUAUUAAAAUACUUACGCAGUUAAUAGCACGGAACUACGGCUGUAUGAUGUUUGAGAAAAUAAAUCGGUGCUCUUUAUAUAUUUUUAUUCGAGUGGUAAUAAAUUAAUAGAACGCGAAAAGGACUGAUUUAUUUGUUUUGUCGUUUUAUUUUACGAAUCGCGAAACACAAUGUUUUAUAACUAAACAGUUACACAUUGAAUGUGAAAAUUCAGAGGUGGCAUAUUGUUUUGUAACGUUUGUAGCUUAAGUAGUGCCUGCUUCUGAGAGACACCGGAACAGCCGUGUGCCAUCGUUAGCCGAUGACGGCGCGGCGCUCCCCCGGAAUGAUAAAUGCGCUGUGCGAGAGAGUGCAUGAUACGUUUUGAGUGUGAAUGCACGGCUCUGAUCCCCUGUCUGCGACCCCUCGCGACGAAACCGCUCGAUAAUUACGAAAUCCACUACGGAGUUAACGUUAUUUAUGUAUUUUUUAUCAAAACUUCAGCGUUUCAACUCUUUAUUUACGUAAAUGGGAACAAUAUACACUACUUAUUUUGCUAAUAGGGAAGAUAAAUACAUUGUAAAGUAGUUAGAAGACGUAUUGAGAGUAUUGACGUAUUAUUUUGUUCUCUAAUCAAAUCGCUUUUUAUUGAUAACAAUAAUUAGAAUACGUUUAAAAAUACUGUAGAUUUUAUAUUACAGUUGGUUUAGAACCACUCGUCUCUCGUUAACAGUAGUAAAUGCUCUUCAUUUAUGAUACCUAUUUAAAAAGUCAAAUUUUGUACGAGUAUAUAUUCAUAUGUUCUAAAAACUAACAUGCUACAUGCACAUGGGAAUAACUAUUUUCAUUAUUAAGAAAAAAAUGCCAAUCAUCCAUUAAGUGACAAUUUACGUGGAGCGAAUGAAGUGGUUUAUCCCUAAUUGUUGUACACUUUAUAUUGCGCGCUUGCUUUGUGUGUGGGUGCGUCUGUGUUUAGUUGUGAUACAUUGCGUGCGGCGUAAUACAAUAAAAUUAAAUCUUUCAAUUUCAUAAUAAUGUUUUGAAUCACCGAAAUCAUCAGUGCUUAUUCUCGUUUUCGUAAAUGGAUCUCUUGCACCCGGAAUGUAGUUCAUGUCAGGAGUGUUGACGAUUAGUAGUCUACCUACCGAAAUUAUUAAUGAUUAGUCCCCAGUUGCACUUGACGUGAGCGUCUCGACGCGUAUAUAUAAUAAGAGCUUAAGUAAAACGAGCGGUUUUUUAAUAAAUCUCUAGAGGGUGACAAAACUUAAUUGAUAUCGGGUCUUUUUUUAUUGCACUUAUAGGCAGACGAGCAUAAGGCCUACCUGAGGGUGAGUGGUUAUCGUCGCCAGUGCACGCCAGCAAUGCCAGAGGCAGAGCCAAGUCGCUGCCUACCGUUAAAACCAUCUUAAAGUAGACGGCGUUAUCGCGUUGCGGACUCCGGUUACCGCUUAAUUCCACUUGAGCUGUGAGCUCGUCUGUCCAUGCACAACACAAUAGGUCUAAGAGAUGUGCUAGAGAAUGAAAAGUAUUUCCUUGGAUAACUGAAGUACGUUAGCAAAUAAUUAUUUUAUUAAGUGUCCAUCUUUGUACUAAUUACUCGGGUAGUCCCGAUUAUAUGUAAUAAAACAAUUUUAUUCAAUAGUCAGUCUUUAAAAUUUUGGCACCAACAAUAAGCAAGAAAACGCAUUGAAUCGAAACGAAAAUAAGCAUCUAAAAAAAGCUUUUCUAAUCUCAAAUAAACGACAGCAACAUCAUUAAACGAAGCGGCGAGUCCACCCUCGGUCCUGGGGUGAUCCUGAGGGAUCGCCGGGGGUGUUGGGAGGGGGAGGUAGGAGGGAGAAGGCCGAAUAUCAACGAACUCAUGUACCGUACGUGUGAACAUGCGUACGUAUAGAAAAUUGUUGGUAAACAUUCCGUCGUGUUGAACUUUUUGCAUAAGUUUGGAAUUUUUUCUAGUUUUUAUAACAAUGCUAAAUUAUUGUAGACUUGUUUAGUUUGCAUUAAGUUAAGAUUAUGUGUACUACAAAGGUGUGAAAUUCAAAAUUGUAAACAUGGCAUUUAUUAUUAGCAAAAUGUCAGACAUGUGAUGAACGAUGUAAAAGAUAUAAAUAUCGAUAUUAAUUGUUCACAAAACUCGUGUGAGAAUCGCGUUUUCAAAAACGUUUAUCUAGAAAAAGUUAAGUGUUAUUAACACACACGAAAAAGGUUAAUUGUGAAAGCAAUAUAAAUGGUUAAAUUACUCAUACAUUCAUACAAGGAUAUGUUCCACUUUCAUCUUGUAACUAUCGCUCUAAAACCUAGUAACACUUGAUUUUUUUUCAAGAUUGUGUUUUAACUGUUCGUUUUUAUAAGCGUAAUUUUUAUUACAAUAAUAAUUUAUAAAUUUAUUUCAGAAAGGCUAGAAGAUAAGUCUCCAGAGUUUGAUACGAGGACUAUAUAAAAAAGCAAGUUUUACACAACUGGGCCGCGAGCGCUUACUUGUCGAACGAAUUACUUAAAGAGAUGCUAUUUUUCAAAGCUGAAUUUAAAGAGUUUUUUUUUUGUUAAACAAAUGAGAUGAAAAAAAAUCACAGAGCACGAUAUCAUGCAAAUGUUUUCUGUACGGCUCUUGUUUCGGUGAAAGACCUUUUAAAUAUUUUAACAAAUGUCAGGGUGUGUUGGGAUGCGCGGAUAUUAUGUACAUUUUUAGUAUGUUUUGUUUCUUUUUUUUUUAAUACGUAUGUUUUUAUGAGUACGUAUAUGAAACUUUCUUUACGCCAGUUAAAGAGUGUGUUUGUUAGGGAACAAAUAAAUGUUAGCAAGUAAAGUUCUUGUAUGAAAUCGUUUUGAUGUUUAUAAGAAUUAAGCAGCGUUGGACUAAAACAAAUUAUAGUUUGAAGUGGUUUAGUUUUUACGGGUGUUAGUGUCUAAUUUUGUCACGCACCUGUGACAGAGAAGCUGAGAAGUACGCGUUUGAGAUGGUAUAGACAUGUGAUGAGACGAAAUGAAAAUGAGGUUGGUAAGAGAGCGUCAACUAUGAAUGUGAAAGGAUAUAGAGGAAGAGGUAGACUAAGAAAUGGUAUAUGAUGGAGGAGUAUAGAAGGAGAAAACAUGUUGCGCCGGCCCUAAGUGACUGGGAGAAGGGCAGGAGAAUGAUGAUGAGUGUCUAAUUGUGUCUAGUGAGGUCGGUACUCACCGGUCUCGGUCGCCAUGGCCGGUUGUUCGGAGGGCGGCACUGUGGCGGGGCGUGCGCGCGCGCUAAACGACUCCAAUCCUGCGCAUUCCACGCGCGCUCCCAGCGUCGCCGCCACUUUAACGCCUUUUCACUUCUAUCCCCGUAACGUUUAAUCUUUGGCCCGCGAAUGUUCGCGUUCCAAAUUUUUAUUUCAUAUAAAAAAUAUUGUAUGUCAAAUCUUGGAAGUUUUUUUUGUUUUAAAGCUUUCGUUUGUUAUUUUGUUUUGCGCGUUUGUUUUGUUUUUCUGAAAGAGAUUUCUUCGAGUUAAUUAUUG
Long non-coding RNA from Bombyx mori (domestic silkworm), 4081 nucleotides. RefSeq lists it as uncharacterized. The transcript is spliced from 3 exons. Lineage: Eukaryota; Metazoa; Arthropoda; Insecta; Lepidoptera; Bombycidae. The record is from RefSeq and is a predicted model, not a curated record.